Rhododendron vialii is the source of this 556-nucleotide long non-coding RNA. RefSeq lists it as uncharacterized. The transcript has 2 exons. NCBI's taxonomy places the organism in Eukaryota, Viridiplantae, Streptophyta, Magnoliopsida, Ericales, Ericaceae. The record is from RefSeq and is a predicted model, not a curated record.
AGUCAGAACUCACAAGACUCGCAACUAAAAAUCAACAGCAAAGUCCAUGUAACAAGAGACAAUACGACAUUGCAAGUCUGGAAAGGACUCUUAUUUUUUGUCUUAAGCAAAAGUGUUAAAAUAAGUCGAUCAAAUAGUAGCCACCAGACAGUAAAUAAUGAGAAUGAAGCUCCAAGUGCCUGACUUAUAACGUAGACGACCAAAAACAAUUGAUUUUCAUUAAAAUAAAUCUGGUAGUAGGGACAUUAUAAACAAAAAUAGAAUGUAAAUCUCCACGAAUAAGGCAACUAAGUCAUGAGACUUUGAGGGUAGGGCCUAGGGGUAACUGCAUAAUUAUCUACCAAAUUAUCUACUCACAGAAAAAUAGACAAGAAUAACUGAAGAAUAUAAGAUUUAGUUUCUAAUCUAACAUGUGACAGAGAUGGCGACAAUCAAUCUUUAGGUCCCCAGCCUAAGACGUAUUCGGUUUCUCAAGAUAUGCACCAGAUACCUUUAUUAACUGAUCCCAAGCUUGAGAACAAAAGGCCUCCGUUUCUAAGGACAGGUUAAUGUCCAA